RNAcentral lists this ribosomal RNA (349 nucleotides) under uncultured bacterium. RNAcentral's name for it is "bacterial SSU rRNA". It matches the Rfam family "Bacterial small subunit ribosomal RNA", at positions 272 to 633 of the family's 1533-position model. The record is from RNAcentral.
GGCGACGACGGGUAGCCGGCCUGAGAGGGCGACCGGCCACACUGGGACUGAGACACGGCCCAGACUCCUACGGGAGGCAGCAGUGGGGAAUAUUGCGCAAUGGACGAAACUCUGACCCAGCGACGCCGCGUGCGGGAUGAAGGCCUUCGGGUUGUAAACCNCUUUCAUCAGGGAAGAAGCGAAAGUGACGGUACCUGCACAAGAAGCACCGGCUAACUAUGUGCCAGCAGCCGCGGUAAUACAUACGGUGCAAGCGUUGUCCGGAAUUAUUGGGCGUAAAGAGCUCGUAGGUGGUUCGUCACGUCGGAUGUGAAACUCUGGGGCUUAACCCCAGACCUGCAUUCGAUAC